UACGUAGGGUGCAAGCGUUGUCCGGAAUUAUUGGGCGUAAAGAGCUCGUAGGCGGUCCGUUGCGUCCGCUGUGAAAACUCGGGGCUUAACCCCGAGCCUGCAGUGGAUACGGGCAGACUAGAGGUAGGUAGGGGAGAAUGGAAUUCCCGGUGUAGCGGUGAAAUGCGCAGAUAUCGGGAGGAACACCGGUGGCGAAGGCGGUUCUCUGGGCCUUACCUGACGCUGAGGAGCGAAAGCGUGGGGAGCGAACAGG
RNAcentral lists this ribosomal RNA (253 nucleotides) under uncultured bacterium. RNAcentral's name for it is "partial 16S ribosomal RNA". It matches the Rfam family "Bacterial small subunit ribosomal RNA", at positions 524 to 776 of the family's 1533-position model. The record is from RNAcentral.